GAUGAAGAACGUAGCGAAAUGCGAUACGUAAUGUGAAUUGCAGAAUUCAGUGAAUCAUCGAAUCUUUGAACGCAUAUUGCGCUCUUUGGUAUUCCGAAGAGCAUGCUUGUUUGAGUAUCAGUAAACACCUCAACCUCUUCUUGAUUUUUCAAAAGGAGGGUGGGCUUGAGCUAUCCCAACAACCUUUACCGGUCGGCGGGCGGCUUGAAAUGCAGGUGCAGCUGGACUUUUAUCUGAGCUAAAAGCAUAUCUAUUUAGUCCUCGUCAAACAGGAUUAUUACUUUUGCUGCAGCUAACAUAAAGGAUAAUUGUCCUCUUUGCUGACUGAUGCAGGAUUUUACGACACUUUAUGUGUUGUUCAACUCGAUCUCAAAUCAAGUAAGACUACCCGCUGAACUUAAGCAUAUCAAUAAGCGGAGGA
This 421-nucleotide unclassified non-coding RNA is filed under the name soil metagenome. RNAcentral describes it as "partial contains 5.8S ribosomal RNA, internal transcribed spacer 2, and large subunit ribosomal RNA". The stretch from base 1 to 120 matches the Rfam family "5.8S ribosomal RNA", at positions 35 to 154 of the family's 154-position model. The record is from RNAcentral.